CCUCCGGUAGGUUAGUGGUUUGAGUUCUAGUCUGAUGUACUGGAGGUGGUGGGUUCGAUUCCUACCUGGGGCA
Molecule: transfer RNA, 73 nt
Filed under: Lucilia cuprina (Australian sheep blowfly)
Lineage: Eukaryota; Metazoa; Arthropoda; Insecta; Diptera; Calliphoridae
Rfam family: tRNA
About the family: Transfer RNA (tRNA) molecules are approximately 80 nucleotides in length.
Source: Rfam by way of RNAcentral